Molecule: ribosomal RNA, 292 nt
Filed under: uncultured bacterium
Lineage: Bacteria
Description: partial 16S ribosomal RNA
Rfam family: Bacterial small subunit ribosomal RNA
Source: RNAcentral
GUGUCAGCCGCCGCGGUAAUACGUAGGGGGCAAGCGUUGUCCGGAAUCAUUGGGCGUAAAGCGCGUGUAGGCGGCUAGGUAAGUCUGCUCUGAAAGCCCGGGGCUCAACCCCGGGAGGCGGGUGGAUACUGUCUAGCUCGAGUCCGGAAGAGGAGUGUGGAAUUCCUGGUGUAGCGGUGAAAUGCGCAGAUAUCAGGAGGAACACCAAUGGCGAAGGCAGCACUCUGGGACGUGACUGACGCUGAGACGCGAAAGCGUGGGGAGCAAACAGGAUUAGAUACCCCCGUAGUCC